CAGGUCACUCCUACGGGAGGCAGCAGUGGGGAAUAUUGGACAAUGGGCGCAAGCCUGAUCCAGUAAUGCCGCGUGUGUGAAGAAGGCCUUCGGGUUGUAAAGCACUUUUAUCAGGAGCGAAAUACUACUGGCUAAUAACCGGUGGGGCUGACGGUACCUGAGGAAUAAGCACCGGCUAACUUCGUGCCAGCAGCCGCGGUAAUACGAAGGGUGCAAGCGUUAAUCGGAAUUACUGGGCGUAAAGCGUGCGUAGGCGGUGAGUUAAGUCUGUUGUGAAAUCCCCGGGCUCAACCUGGGAAUGGCAAUGGAUACUGGCUCGCUAGAGUGUGAUAGAGGAUGGUGGAAUUCCCGGUGUAGCGGUGAAAUGCGUAGAGAUCGGGAGGAACAUCAGUGGCGAAGGCGGCCAUCUGGAUCAACACUGACGCUGAGGCACGAAAGCGUGGGGAGCAAACAGGAUUAGAUACCCUGGUAGUCCACGCCCUAAACGAUGCGAACUGGAUGUUGGUCUCAACUCGGAGAUCAGUGUCGAAGCUAACGCGUUAAGUUCGCCGCCUGGGGAGUACGGUCGCAAGACUGAAACUCAAAGGAUUGACG
This 594-nucleotide ribosomal RNA is filed under the name uncultured Dyella sp. RNAcentral describes it as "bacterial SSU rRNA". It matches the Rfam family "Bacterial small subunit ribosomal RNA", at positions 329 to 915 of the family's 1533-position model. Lineage: Bacteria; Pseudomonadati; Pseudomonadota; Gammaproteobacteria; Lysobacterales; Rhodanobacteraceae. The record is from RNAcentral.